This 68-nucleotide transfer RNA is filed under the name Limenitis fortuna. Its description in RNAcentral is "Athyma fortuna tRNA-Leu". Lineage: Eukaryota; Metazoa; Arthropoda; Insecta; Lepidoptera; Nymphalidae. The record is from RNAcentral.
ACUAUUUUGACAGAAAAAUGUGAUGAUUUUAGAAGUCAUAAAUAUAUAGUUAUAUUAUAUAAAUAGUA